CUCGCUUCUCGGCCUUUUGGCUAAGAUCAAGUGUAGUAUCAUGUGUAGUGUAGUAAAUUCAUUCCACCAUUU
Molecule: small nuclear RNA, 72 nt
Organism: Centrocercus urophasianus (Greater sage-grouse)
Lineage: Eukaryota; Metazoa; Chordata; Aves; Galliformes; Phasianidae
Product: U2 spliceosomal RNA
Exons: 1
Source: RefSeq, a predicted model, not a curated record